AAAAAAACAAACCGUGGGUUCCCGUGCCAACGUUUGACUGUCCGUCUUAUGUGAAAUUUUUUAUAGUUAGUACUUUCAUUGUUGUUAGAUGAUAAAACAUGAUUAAUACUUUAUGCGUGACUUAUCUUUUUAAUUUUUUUAAAUAAGACGGACGGUUAAACGUUGGACACGGAAACCAGGGUUUGUCUUUUU
RNAcentral lists this microRNA precursor (192 nucleotides) under Oryza rufipogon (brownbeard rice). RNAcentral describes it as "MIR812 microRNA precursor family". It matches the Rfam family "MIR812 microRNA precursor family". Lineage: Eukaryota; Viridiplantae; Streptophyta; Magnoliopsida; Poales; Poaceae. The record is from Rfam by way of RNAcentral.